GGCUCCAUGGUCAAGCGGCUAAGACACCGCCCUUUCACGGCGGUAACAGGGGUUCAAAUCCCCUUGGAGUCA
RNAcentral lists this transfer RNA (72 nucleotides) under Blautia schinkii. RNAcentral's name for it is "tRNA-Glu". It matches the Rfam family "tRNA". Rfam says of the family: Transfer RNA (tRNA) molecules are approximately 80 nucleotides in length. Their secondary structure includes four short double-helical elements and three loops (D, anti-codon, and T loops). RNAcentral also lists the same sequence under 1 other name. Lineage: Bacteria; Bacillati; Bacillota; Clostridia; Lachnospirales; Lachnospiraceae. The record is from RNAcentral.